This 1350-nucleotide ribosomal RNA is filed under the name uncultured bacterium. RNAcentral's name for it is "bacterial SSU rRNA". It matches the Rfam family "Bacterial small subunit ribosomal RNA", at positions 28 to 1381 of the family's 1533-position model. The record is from RNAcentral.
GACGAACGCUGGCGGCGCUCCUAACACAUGCAAGUCGAGCGAUGAAAGUUGCUCAGAUCCUUCGGGUGACGAACUUCUGGAUUAGCGGCGAACGGGUGAGUAACGCGUGAGGAACCUGCCUCUCACAACGGGAUAGCCUCGGGAAACCGGGAUUAAUACCGUAUGACACUAUCAGAUGGCAUCAUCAGGUAUUUAAAGUGCUACCGCUAACAGAUGGCCUCGCGUCUGAUUAGUUAGUUGGUGGGGUAACGGCCUACCAAGACGACGAUCGGUAACCGGCCUGAGAGGGUGAACGGUCACAUUGGAACUGAGACACGGUCCAAACUCCGACGGUAGGCGGCAGUGGGCAAUCUUGCACUAUGGGCGAAACCCUGAUGCAGCGACUCCUUGAGAGCGAUGAAGGUUUUCGAAUCGUAAAGGUCUGUCCUAUGGGAAGAUAAUGACGGUACCAUACGAGGAAGCCCCGGCUAACUACGUGCCACGCAGCCGCGGUAGAUACAAGGGGGCGAGAGUUGUCUCGAAUUACUGGGCGUAAAGGGUUCGCAGGCGGCAUGACAAGUCCGAUGUAAAAGGCGAAAGCUCAACUUUCGUAAGCAUCGGAAACUGUCAAGCUUGAGUGAAGGAGAGGUAAGUGGAAUUCCUAGUGUGGCGGUGGAAUGCGUAGAUAUUAGGAGGAAUACCGGUGGCGAAGGCGACUUGCUGGACUUCAACUGACGCUGAGGAACGAAAGCGUGGGUAGCAAACAGGAUUAGAUACCCUGGUAGUCCACGCCGUAAACGAUGAGUGCUAGGUGUCGGGGGUCAAACCUCGGUGCCGUCGUUAACACACUAAGCACUCCGCCUGGGGAGUACGUGCGCAAGCAUGAAACUCAAAGGAAUUGACGGGGACCCGCACAAGCAGCGGAGCAUGUGGUUUAAUCCGAAGCAACGCGAAGAACCUUACCAGGACUUGAAAUACUAGUGCCCACUUUAGAGAUAAAGUUUUUUCUUCGGAAACGCUAAUACAGGUGGUGCAUGGUUGUCGUCAGCUCGUGUCGUGAGAUGUUGGGUUAAGUCCCGCAACGAGCGCAACCCUUACUUCUAGUUGCCAGCACGUAAUGGUGGGACCUCUAGAGGGACUGCCGAUGAUAAAUCGGAGGAAGGGGGGGGUGAAGUCAAAUCAUCACGCCCCCUAUGUCCCGGGCUACACACGUGCCUCAAUGGUCGGUACAGAGGGCAGCGAAAGAGCGAUCCCAAGCGAAUCUCAAAAAACCGAUCCCAGUUCGGAUUGCAGGCUGCAACUCGCCUGCAUGAAGUCGGAGUUGCUAGUAAUCGCAGAUCAGAAUGCUGCGGUGAAUGCGUUCCCGGGUCU